This 499-nucleotide ribosomal RNA is filed under the name uncultured bacterium. RNAcentral's name for it is "partial 16S ribosomal RNA". It matches the Rfam family "Bacterial small subunit ribosomal RNA", at positions 28 to 507 of the family's 1533-position model. The record is from RNAcentral.
GACGAACGCUGGCGGCGUGCCUAAUACAUGCAAGUCGAGCGAAGUUUUUCUGGCGCUUGCACUAGAAAAACUUAGCGGCGAACGGGUGAGUAACACGUAAAGAACCUGCCUCAUAGACUGGGACAACUAUUGGAAACGAUAGCUAAUACCGGAUAACAGUAUUUCUCGCAUGAGAGAUAUUUAAAAGUUGGUUAUGCUAACACUAUGAGAUGGCUUUGCGGUGCAUUAGCUAGUUGGUGGGGUAAAGGCCCACCAAGGCGACGAUGCAUAGCCGACCUGAGAGGGUGAUCGGCCACACUGGGACUGAGACACGGCCCAGACUCCUACGGGAGGCAGCAGUAGGGAAUCUUCCGCAAUGGGCGAAAGCCUGACGGAGCAACGCCGCGUGAGUGAAGAAGGAGUUCGGUUCGUAAAGCUCUGUUGUUAGGGAAGAAUGGAUAUGUAGUAACUAUACAUGUAAGAGACGGUACCUAACCAGAAAGCCACGGCUAACUACGUG